This 443-nucleotide ribosomal RNA is filed under the name uncultured bacterium. Its description in RNAcentral is "partial 16S ribosomal RNA". It matches the Rfam family "Bacterial small subunit ribosomal RNA", at positions 338 to 795 of the family's 1533-position model. The record is from RNAcentral.
CCUACGGGUGGCUGCAGUAGGGAAUCUUCGGCAAUGGAGGCAACUCUGACCCAGCAACGCCGCGUGAAGGAAGAAGGCCUUAGGGUUGUAAACUUAUGUUGUAAAGGAAGAAAAGAAUGGCGGUACUUUACCCUAAAGCCCCGGCUAACUAUGUGCCAGCAGCCGCGAUAAGACAUAGGGGGCACGCGUUGUUCGGAAUUACUGGGCGUAAAGGGAGCGUAGGCGGGAGAUUAAGUUAAGAGUGAAAGCCUUGGGCUCAACCGAAGAAAUGCUCUUGAUACUGGUGUUCUAGAGUGUGGAAGAGGUAAGUGGAAUUCCUUGUGUAGCGGUAGAAUGCGUAGAGAUUAGGAGGAACAUCAGAGGCGAAGGCGGCUUACUGGACCAUAACUGACGCUGAGGCUCGAAAGCGUGGGGAGCGAACAGGAUUAGAUACCCUUGUAGUC